Molecule: ribosomal RNA, 434 nt
Filed under: uncultured Lachnospiraceae bacterium
Lineage: Bacteria; Bacillati; Bacillota; Clostridia; Lachnospirales; Lachnospiraceae
Description: partial 16S ribosomal RNA
Rfam family: Bacterial small subunit ribosomal RNA
Source: RNAcentral
ACGGAAGGCAGCAGUGGGGAAUAUUGCACAAUGGGGGAAACCCUGAUGCAGCGACGCCGCGUGAGUGAAGAAGUAUUUCGGUAUGUAAAGCUCUAUCAGCAGGAAAGAAAGUGACGGUACCUGACUAAGAAGCCCCGGCUAACUACGUGCCAGCAGCCGCGGUAAUACGUAGGGGGCAAGCGUUAUCCGGAUUUACUGGGUGUAAAGGGAGCGUAGACGGCUUUGCAAGUCUGAAGUGAAAGCCCGGGGCUCAACCCCGGAACUGCUUUGGAAACUGUAGAGCUAGAGUGCAGGAGAGGUAAGUGGAAUUCCUAGUGUAGCGGUGAAAUGCGUAGAUAUUAGGAGGAACACCAGUGGCGAAGGCGGCUUACUGGACUGUAACUGACGUUGAGGCUCGAAGGCGUGGGGAGCAAACAGGAUUAGAUACCCUGGUA